GAUGAACGCUGGCGGCGUGCCUAAUACAUGCAAGUCGAGCGAACAGACGAGGAGCUUGCUCCUCUGACGUUAGCGGCGGACGGGUGAGUAACACGUGGAUAACCUACCUAUAAGACUGGGAUAACUUCGGGAAACCGGAGCUAAUACCGGAUAAUAUAUCGAACCGCAUGGUUCAAUAGUGAAAGACGGUUUUGCUGUCACUUAUAGAUGGAUCCGCGCCGCAUUAGCUAGUUGGUAAGGUAACGGCUUACCAAGGCAACGAUGCGUAGCCGACCUGAGAGGGUGAUCGGCCACACUGGAACUGAGACACGGUCCAGACUCCUACGGGAGGCAGCAGUAGGGAAUCUUCCGCAAUGGGCGAAAGCCUGACGGAGCAACGCCGCGUGAGUGAUGAAGGUCUUCGGAUCGUAAAACUCUGUUAUUAGGGAAGAACAAAUGUGUAAGUAACUAUGCACGUCUUGACGGUACCAAAUCAGAAAGCCACGGCUAACUACGUG
RNAcentral lists this ribosomal RNA (497 nucleotides) under uncultured bacterium. Its description in RNAcentral is "partial 16S ribosomal RNA". It matches the Rfam family "Bacterial small subunit ribosomal RNA", at positions 28 to 507 of the family's 1533-position model. The record is from RNAcentral.